Molecule: long non-coding RNA, 1459 nt
Filed under: Hordeum vulgare
Lineage: Eukaryota; Viridiplantae; Streptophyta; Magnoliopsida; Poales; Poaceae
Description: long non-coding RNA (HVUL_LNC017580)
Source: RNAcentral
UUAAGUCUGUUAAAUAAUUGAAUUUUAAAUCAUUCAAUUAUAUGUGAAAUGCAUGUCAACUUUAGUAGAAAUAUCAAAUCACAUAUUGACGCUCGCAUAGGAACCGAUAUGCCACAUGCCUUUUUGUGCCAUUAAGUGAUAAUUUGAAAUGUGACACAAGCAAGUUCAUAAUUUUAAAAGGAACUAGGUGUGGUUCACACUUUCAAGGAUAUAUCAUGUUUCUGUAAUGCAUAUAGUAAUAAUGGACAAAUAGCACCAACAUGUAUUGCCUCAUAGAUAUAUUCAAUCAUACUUUGUAUAAUAGUCAUGUUUGGAUGCCGGUCCAAUAAUAGGCUAGUUGUUUAGUCAUCUCGUCCUAUUUCCGUUGGUUGUGGCAUUUUAUCUUUUUUAUUUGCUUUCAUUUCCGCCCUGAGCGAGCACGUACUAGACCACAUAUAUUUUUGGAUAUUUUGCUUAAUAAUAUGGAUGCAUGCCUCACGUUGAUGCACAGGCCGAGGGCUAUUGUCCUUUUCCAUUUUUUUUUAUUUUGUAUAAGAGAUAGAAUAAUAAACAUGAACACGAUGAAGGCCUAGUCCGUGCAUGUGAGCGAGCUACUUUACUAGUUUUAAGGAUAGCCACACAAGAACAAGAGAAUCCAUAUGAGAAAUUACCUUCCAUCUAUGCUUCCACAUUUAAUAGCCUUUAGGAUAACCUUGUGCCCAAUCAACUGCUAUAAAAGGCGGCUUUGUGGCAAACAUAAUGGAAUAAAGUGAGGGAGGACGGAAGGAAUAAAGUGAGACCGAAGUUCAUCAACCUGUUCUAAACAUUGUUUUGGACUGGACUACCAAUUUUUCCUAAGUCGCGAUCCUGAGAGGUAUUGGGAACUUAGGGAUCACUUGAUGCCUUUGCUAGAGAUUCGCUAUGAAUAAAUUAGUGGUGAAAUGAAGUAGUCUCAAGCUAUAACCUCUACUAAGCAUUUGGAAUUCUGAAUAAUCUUUUGAGUGGUUUGCAGCAACAUGUGGAGAAUAAGGCUAGUUUUCAUAGAAUAAGCCAUUCUGAUUUCACGGUGCUCACCAUUACUCAAGAAAUGGCCAUGAUGAAGCAGUUUCUCACAACACAGCACAUGUUUGUAGUGUAGGGAGUCUAAUGUGAGAGUGAAGUCAAAACCUUCCAUGUUAAUUUACAGGGCACUCUAAAACCAUUAUAAACGGCGUGUUUUAGCAUUUUAGAAAAAUUGGUAGAUCUGAACUAGUUAGUGCCAAAACCAGCCUACUUUACGUGAGCUUGGGCCUUGUGCAGACAGUUUGGUAAUAGUAAAUAUUUGACAAAUGGAAAACAUUUGCAUGCUCGCUUAUGCUUCGUGUCAUUCCGCGUUGUGAUUCGUGUGAUGUUUCGUCCUUUAUUCUUUAUUCAGAGGUCAUGCUCGCUUAUGCUUCCCUCUCUCCUCUCAUGUCAAAAUGCAUACAAAACAGUUUUGUAU